This 720-nucleotide ribosomal RNA is filed under the name uncultured bacterium. Its description in RNAcentral is "bacterial SSU rRNA". It matches the Rfam family "Bacterial small subunit ribosomal RNA", at positions 62 to 749 of the family's 1533-position model. The record is from RNAcentral.
UCGAACGAAACUUCUUUAUCACCGAGUGCUUGCACUCACCGAUAAAGAGUUGAGUGGCGAACGGGUGAGUAACACGUGGGCAACCUGCCCAAAAGAGGGGGAUAACACUUGGAAACAGGUGCUAAUACCGCAUAACCAUAGUUACCGCAUGGUAACUAUGUAAAAGGUGGCUAUACUACCGCUUUUGGAUGGGCCCGCGGCGCAUUAGCUAGUUGGUAGGGUAAAGGCUUACCAAGGCAAUGAUGCGUAGCCGAAUUGAGAGGUUGAUCGGCCACAUUGGGACUGAGACACGGCCCAAACUCCUACGGGAGGCAGCAGUAGGGAAUCUUCCACAAUGGGCGAAAGCCUGAUGGAGCAACGCCGCGUGGGUGAAGAAGGUCUUCGGAUCGUAAAACCCUGUUGUUAGAGAAGAAAGUGCGUGAGAGUAACUGUUCACGUUUCGACGGUAUCUAACCAGAAAGCCACGGCUAACUACGUGCCAGCAGCCGCGGUAAUACGUAGGUGGCAAGCGUUGUCCGGAUUUAUUGGGCGUAAAGCGAGUGCAGGCGGUUCAAUAAGUCUGAUGUGAAAGCCUUCGGCUCAACCGGAGAAUUGCAUCAGAAACUGUUGAACUUGAGUGCAGAAGAGGAGAGUGGAACUCCAUGUGUAGCGGUGAAAUGCGUAGAUAUUAGGAGGAACACCAGUGGCGAAGGCGGCUUACUGGACAGUAACUGACGUUGA